RNAcentral lists this ribosomal RNA (492 nucleotides) under uncultured bacterium. Its description in RNAcentral is "partial 16S ribosomal RNA". It matches the Rfam family "Bacterial small subunit ribosomal RNA", at positions 30 to 507 of the family's 1533-position model. The record is from RNAcentral.
AUUGAACGCUGGCGGCAUGCUUUACACAUGCAAGUCGAACGGUAACAGGCCUUCGGGUGCUGACGAGUGGCGAACGGGUGCGUAAUGCAUCGGAACGUGCCCAGAGGUGGGGGAUAACGCAGCGAAAGCUGUGCUAAUACCGCAUGUGAUCUGAGGAUGAAAGCGGGGGACCAGGCAGCAAUGUUUGGCCUCGCGCCUUUGGAGCGGCCGAUGUCAGAUUAGGUAGUUGGUGGGGUAAAGGCCUACCAAGCCGACGAUCUGUAGCUGGUCUGAGAGGACGACCAGCCACACUGGGACUGAGACACGGCCCAGACUCCUACGAGAGGCAGCAGUGGGGAAUUUUGGACAAUGGGCGCAAGCCUGAUCCAGCAAUGCCGCGUGCGGGAAGAAGGCCUUCGGGUUGUAAACCGCUUUUGUACGGAACGAAAAGGCUCUGGCUAAUACCUGGGGCUGAUGACGGUACCGUAAGAAUAAGCACCGGCUAACUACGUG